Pseudophryne corroboree (corroboree frog) is the source of this 1942-nucleotide long non-coding RNA. RefSeq lists it as uncharacterized. The record is from RefSeq and is a predicted model, not a curated record. Lineage: Eukaryota; Metazoa; Chordata; Amphibia; Anura; Myobatrachidae. The transcript is spliced from 3 exons.
ACAUUAACUUAUCUUUGUUUUAAUAAAGUAGAAACACUGACUGUGAAGAAGUUCUGUGAUGUAGUUUUGCAGUAAUCAAGACGCUUCAAGGUAUCAUAACAUGGAAUGGACAUUAAUAACUUUCACUGCCGGUAACUCUCUGCCGAAUGAUAUAGACGAGCGGGACUGAUUAUGACCGGGACUCGGUUGCCUAGGCAACCUAACAAACACGUUAGGAAGGGGAAUAUCCGGGAGCGCACUGGAGGGCGGAAGUAUAAACAACGCGGGAAGACGGACCGCUCGGAGGCACAGCACAGCCGGAAGUCGUCAAAUGACGCACUAGUCAACGAGCGGAAGUGACGGACCGCUCAUCCAAUGGGACUGUUUUGUGGUUACCGGGCAACCACAAACGGCGAGGAACAACACGCAUCAGAGCCAAGCACCGAGCGCAAAGAAAAUGGACACUAAUGGGGAAACGGAAAGGGAAUGUGAUGGCUUUGUAAUGGUAUCAUAACAUGGAAUGGACAUUAAUAACUUUCACUGCCGGUAACUCUCUGCCGAAUGAUAUAGACGAGCGGGACUGAUUAUGACCGGGACUCGGUUGCCUAGGCAACCUAACAAACACGUUAGGAAGGGGAAUAUCCGGGAGCGCACUGGAGGGCGGAAGUAUAAACAACGCGGGAAGACGGACCGCUCGGAGGCACAGCACAGCCGGAAGUCGUCAAAUGACGCACUAGUCAACGAGCGGAAGUGACGGACCGCUCAUCCAAUGGGACUGUUUUGUGGUUACCGGGCAACCACAAAUGGCGAGGAACAACACGCAUCAGAGCCAAGCACCGAGCGCAAAGAAAAUGGACACUAAUGGGGAAACGGAAAGGGAAUGUGAUGGCUUUGUAAUGGUCUGUAUAUUUUUUAUUCAUUGUGAAUUUUUAAUAUGGGGUUUCAACCGGAAGUGGUUGCCAUGACAACAUGAAUCAACUGUUGGAGGGAGCCAUCUUUAACGCAGGUGCUAUCACUUGCUAAAUUAACAUUAUGAUUGGCCAAUAGAGGAAUAAAAGGAUUGUAACACACAAGGGGAGCAUAUUAGCCUUGAGAAAGGGCCUAGUAAGGCCUGAAACGCGUUGGCACAGCUGGGGACAUUCGCUUUGCUGUUUGUGGAAGGAGCUAUUGCCGGACAAACCCAGAACGCCAUUUCCCGGGAGGCUAUCUGGUGACUAAAAACACGCUGGUCUGAGGAUAUCUAUCCUCCAACUAUCUGGUAAUUGCAUUCUCUAUAUGCAGCUCUGCUAGUGUCCUUUAUGCUGUAUGUGCUCCAUUUAGGAUAAAAAUACACUUUGUUUUUAUUGAAAAGGAUCCAUCUGUAUGAAAAAUUCAUGCUAUUUUAAAAAGGAAUAAAACAGUAUUACACUAGAUAUUCCUCUUUUCCUUUUUAUGACAUCACAAAUUGGAUUCUCAUCGAGACUGCCAGACGAUAUAUAUGAGGAAAUCAGAGAAUAUCUUACACGCCUGAUUGCAAGUAUUUUAAAGGGACGUCCACUCAAUAUAUUUUGAACAUUUCCCCACUUUCUCACUCCACUGUUUAUUCAUUGUCAUUUGGCGCCCAGUACAGUGUUUACCUAUUUUUUGCAUACUGUUGUUUCAUACGGGAUAGAGUUACGCCCAUACCUCUUGGUCUACACGGUUAAGGCAGCCAUCUCCACGCAUUGGAGAGGUGUUCCACCCAAUUUCCCUAUACUAAGAGACUAAGAAAUUUGUAAUGUUGCUAAAAAUGUUCUGUAUUGUUCUGUAGAAAUUUGUAGUUAUUACCCUUUGUGACGUAUUCAUUAUGUUUUCAUUAUGUGAAACUUGGCCAUAAAAACCUCUAGAAAGUAAACGAGCACAGCUCAGAAUCAGCUUUGACAUAGAUACCGCGUUUGUGUCUUGAUUUCUGACUCCAAGCAGCUGGUACAAGAAUCAUCAGACA